GUGCCAGCCGCCGCGGUAAUACAGAGGGUGCAAGCGUUAAUCGGAAUUACUGGGCGUAAAGCGAGCGUAGGUGGCUUGAUAAGUCAGAUGUGAAAUCCCCGGGCUUAACCUGGGAACUGCAUCUGAAACUGUUAGGCUAGAGUAGGUGAGAGGGAAGUAGAAUUUCAGGUGUAGCGGUGAAAUGCGUAGAGAUCUGAAGGAAUACCGAUGGCGAAGGCAGCUUCCUGGCAUCAUACUGACACUGAGGCUCGAAAGCGUGGGUAGCAAACAGGAUUAGAUACCCUGGUAGUCCACGCCGUAAACGAUGUCUACUAGUCGUUGGGUCCCUUGAGGACUUAGUGACGCAGCUAACGCAAUAAGUAGACCGCCUGGGGAGUACGGCCGCAAGGUUAAAACUCAAAUGAAUUGACGGGGGCCCGCACAAGCGGUGGAGCAUGUGGUUUAAUUCGAUGCAACGCGAAGAACCUUACCUGGUCUUGACAUACACAGAAUCUUGUAGAGAUACGAGAGUGCCUUCGGGAAUUGUGAUACAGGUGCUGCAUGGCUGUCGUCAGCUCGUGUCGUGAGAUGUUGGGUUAAGUCCCGCAACGAGCGCAACCCUUGUCCUUAGUUACCAGCACUUCGGGUGGGAACUCUAAGGAUACUGCCAGUGACAAACUGGAGGAAGGCGGGGACGACGUCAAGUCAUCAUGGCCCUUACGACCAGGGCUACACACGUGCUACAAUGGUAGGUACAGAGGGCAGCUACACAGCGAUGUGAUGCGAAUCUCAAAAAGCCUAUCGUAGUCCAGAUUGGAGUCUGCAACUCGACUCCAUGAAGUAGGAAUCGCUAGUAAUCGCGGAUCAGAAUGCCGCGGUGAAUACGUUCCCGGGCCUUGUACACACCGCCCGUCACACCAUGGGAGUUGAUUGCACCAGAAGUGGUUAGCCUAACUUAGUGAGGGCGAUCACCACGGUGUGGUUGAUGACUGGGGUGAAGUCGUAACAAGGUAACC
This 995-nucleotide ribosomal RNA is filed under the name uncultured Psychrobacter a2. RNAcentral's name for it is "bacterial SSU rRNA". It matches the Rfam family "Bacterial small subunit ribosomal RNA", at positions 505 to 1501 of the family's 1533-position model. The record is from RNAcentral. Lineage: Bacteria; Pseudomonadati; Pseudomonadota; Gammaproteobacteria; Moraxellales; Moraxellaceae.